AAGAACAAAAGAAAGAAGAACCGUCGGAAAAAGAACAGAAUCGCAAAGAGAGAAAAAAAGAAAACCUUUGUUCUAUUGAUUUUUUUUAAUACAAUCUGUGUAUGAGGGUUUUUUUCAAUAUGCCUCGGUAUCCUCCUUUACAGAUUCUGAUUUAAUGGCUUAUGUAGCCGAAAAGAAAAAAUGAAAAAAAGAGAAUAUGCAAAACCCCUCGCCCC
RNAcentral lists this long non-coding RNA (215 nucleotides) under Gossypium raimondii (Peruvian cotton). Its description in RNAcentral is "long non-coding RNA (GRAI_LNC005421)". The record is from RNAcentral. Lineage: Eukaryota; Viridiplantae; Streptophyta; Magnoliopsida; Malvales; Malvaceae.